GGGCCUGUGGCGCAGUUGGGAGCGCGCUUCCAUGGCAUGGAAGAGGUCGAGGGUUCGAAUCCCUCCAGGUCCACCA
RNAcentral lists this transfer RNA (76 nucleotides) under bacterium. RNAcentral's name for it is "tRNA-Ala". It matches the Rfam family "tRNA". From Rfam's summary of the family: Transfer RNA (tRNA) molecules are approximately 80 nucleotides in length. RNAcentral also lists the same sequence under 12 other names. The record is from RNAcentral.